Small nuclear RNA from Mugil cephalus (flathead mullet), 137 nucleotides. NCBI's taxonomy places the organism in Eukaryota, Metazoa, Chordata, Actinopteri, Mugiliformes, Mugilidae. The record is from RefSeq and is a predicted model, not a curated record.
GUGUUGUAUGACAGGAGGGAAGGUUAACACUCCCCUUGACACGGAUGGAAAUGGCCCCUGUGGCCUGAAACCACAGACUGAAUAAAUAUGGACGACGCGUCUCCACUCCCUUGCACUGGCCGCAGUGACGCUAUUUU